Eriocheir sinensis (Chinese mitten crab) is the source of this 909-nucleotide long non-coding RNA. RefSeq lists it as uncharacterized. Lineage: Eukaryota; Metazoa; Arthropoda; Malacostraca; Decapoda; Varunidae. The record is from RefSeq and is a predicted model, not a curated record. The transcript has 2 exons.
UGUACUGGAAGCUUCCCCCGGCGACCAUAGGCCUCUAGAAGGCUCCCGGAGAAACGAGCAAGGGGGCGGGGAGCAAGGCGAGCCAGGCGGGAAGUGUUGCCAACUCCCAUAUAUUUUUGCUACAUGUUCUUGUAUGAUCUAAAAUAUACUGUAACAUUCUAGACUGUACUGUUCUGGAUAUAUAUAGGAGAAGAGGGCGAGAGGAGUCCAGUCCCAGUUAUAGUAAGCUAGUGGUCAGUGAAGAGUCAGAGUGAAGUGUACUACUAAGGAAGAAUAUUAAACAACAGAAGUUGUGCAAAGUGUUUAUGUAUAAUCUCCCUCCCACGGAGUCUUGUGACGGCGACACGGAACCCAAGUUGUGCCGAUGCGAAGGCCUGACUCUCCAACGGGUCACCUGUACAGCAAGAGCAAGUGUUUACCUUUGACACGUGGAGUACCUGACACGCCUCCGCCUGGGCCACACACGACUCAGCGCUCACCUCCACCGCCUGCGCCUGGCCCCGACCCUCACUGCCCAAGGAGUCACUGCCCCUGGUGCAGGACCGUGGAGGAGGCCAGUGACCACCUCCUGCUGCACUGUGUACUUCAGAUAAUCUAUAAGUUCAAUUUACAUGGCCUGGUAGUAUGUAACUUUUAUAAGUGACUGUACUUGUCUAUUUGUUAUAUGUGUAAUUUUCUUUAUUAUUCUUAUUCCUAUAUUCUUGAGAUUAUUCCAUUGCAUUACUGCCCUAUUAUCUUUCUUUACUUUGUGUAUAAUUAUGAGACCAAUAUUUCUUUCUCAUAUUUUCUUUUGCUUGUGUGUCUGUGUUCAUGCAUUUUCUAUAAUGCACAAUGCGUGCCAUAUAUCUACAUGCCAGCAUAUAUUUGUUGUAUAUACUUUUCUAGACAAAUACAACUGAACUGCACCUU